AUGCUAGCUGCGGCCAAGGUGGGAGAUAGAGAAGAAGAACUGCUACGAGGUGAAAUAAAACGGAAAACGUAAUAUAUCAAAGGCUACGAAUGAUUCGGAGAACUUUGAAAUGACAUCGAUACGAAGAAUACCGAAAUGAUAAGAAAUUCAUCCAAAUGCGUUAGCAAGGUAAUGAUAGUGCAAUGAAAGACACGAUUUGAGAAACGGUGCAAGUUCACUAGCCGUUUUCUAAAUUUAUGUGCCAAUCGACGGACAUUUCCGAGAUUAUUUUCGAUCGCGACUCGUAUUUCGAAACUGUUUCCCAAAUCGUCGAUCGGAAACGGAAGAAUGUUUAAAGAAUAACCGUGACUUUCUACCGGCGCUACAUGGUGUAUUUCACGAUCAUUGGUGAUUACUGUUUCGCGCGAAGGAGGGAAUGAUUCACAGUACACGAUUUCGUGGUUAAGGCGGCCGUAACUAAUGACUCACAUUAAUUACUGAAUGUUUUUCAACGAUAAUACAAUGGCAAAUAUUUCGCGAGGAAUUAAGCAUAUUAUUUUGCUGGAAGUAAUCGAACGAACGUGACCGGGUCUUAUUGUUAUAUAAAUAUUUCUAAUUUUAUGUAUGCAUCAUUUUUUGUUUAGAGAUAGCGCAGUACUACUACGUUACUACGUAUGAAGUGACCGAUUCCGUAAAUGCGUAAAAUCAUUCAGGAUUUAAUAAUCGAAAGUAGCGUUAAAUAACUUCUUAAAAUUUUGUUGCCACUGCAACGAGACACGGUUACUAUGCUGUCAAAUAUUUAUCACAAGUAAACACUGAAUAAAAAUUCUUCUACCAUAUGAAUGAAAUUUUACUAAUAUAAUCGUAAUAGUCGCGUCUCAUCGCAGUGCUAACGAAAUUUCAAAAUGCUUUGUAUAAUACACACACGAUGUAUCCAUAAAAUGUUUCUAUGAUAAGUAUCGAAAUUUUUUCAUGAGUCGUAAAAGUUAUUCUCGAAGCUAGUCACAGUGUUAGAAGAGAAAUCACAAAUAUGAAAUACUUAAAAAAAAAAAAGAGAAAGAAAAA
Long non-coding RNA from Bombus impatiens (common eastern bumble bee), 1044 nucleotides. RefSeq lists it as uncharacterized. Lineage: Eukaryota; Metazoa; Arthropoda; Insecta; Hymenoptera; Apidae. The record is from RefSeq and is a predicted model, not a curated record. The transcript is spliced from 2 exons.